This is a long non-coding RNA of Rosa rugosa (rugosa rose), 1467 nucleotides long. RefSeq lists it as uncharacterized. Lineage: Eukaryota; Viridiplantae; Streptophyta; Magnoliopsida; Rosales; Rosaceae. The transcript is spliced from 4 exons. The record is from RefSeq and is a predicted model, not a curated record.
CAAAAAUAAUUUCAGUUCCAUUUCUGGAAACCGAACUCUCUCUCUCUUGCGCGCGUCCGAGCCCAGAAAAAACAGAGCAAAGCUCUCCGGCCGAGUUCUCCCUCCUCCGGCCACCAAUCGACACCAGACCACCUCCCUUGCCUUCGCCUCGACGCCGCCUACCUGCUAGACGUGAUCACUUCCACCGGAACGGCCUCAAAUCCGGCAGUCGGAGCCGCAAACUUUGAAACAAAAAUCGGUCAACGCCGGUUUUCUCCUAGCUCCGGCCACCAAAACUCACGAUCCUUAGCUCCCUGAACUCGCCUCAACCUUCUGAUCAUCAUUCUAGAAGGAUCGCACCUGGAGUGAUCGGAUUCACGUUCGUCGGAGCUCGCCGGAUUCUGGAAAUUUUCCACCACCACCGAAGCUUUUGAUAGAAGGAAUCGAAGCCUGAAAUUGAAGUUUUGACGUCCAAAUCAAGCCUUGCCGGAUUCUGCAAAAUUCUGGAAUUUUUCCGACCACCGAAGCUUUCGAUCGGUAUAUCUCGAGCUACAGACCAUAUUUUUCUGUGAUUCUUGAACCAGUGAGUUCUUCUUGAGUUUCUUAACAACUCUUCAGAAGGAAUCGAAGCCUUAAAUUGACGUUUUUACGUCGAAUUGGAGCUCGCCGUUUUCUGCAGUUUCUCGCCGGUUUCUGGAAAAUUCCGGCCACCUUCAUACUGUUCAAGGUGAUCGACGGUUUGAUUUGGCGGACGAUUCGUGAAAUUGUAUUUUGAGCUGUUAAGAAGACGCAACGGGAAUUUAGAGCGGGUAAUCCUACAGGUCAGGAGAACCAGGACGGUGAUCGGGCUGCUUAGAGUAGUGUUAUGUGAAUUACAACAUUAUAUUGUGAGGUUUGUUAUGCUCAUUUAGAGCUUUACGAUUUUACUUUGUAAGAGUGAAUUGUAAUAAUUAACUCGAGGUUUUCGAGUUUUGUGUUGAGUGGCGAGUGGUGUGUUUGUUUCUGAGAAAAAAAAAUUCAGAACGUUAUUUGUAUUAAUUGUUUAUUCAUGUUUCGGAUUUGAAUUUAUUAUUCAAAAUUCGGGGCGUGACAGAUAAGAACCAUGAACUAAUUUUACUAACCUUGAAGAUAAUGUUGCAUCAGAAACAACCAAAUAUGAUAAUUGGUUUCAUCGAGUCGAACGGAAACAGCAGUGCAGGCUUGAUUUGGAAACGACAUUGAUGAAAAACUUGAAGAUUGAAUCUUGAGAAAGAGUUGCUACUAAAAACUUGUAUGAACAAAUCUUCAAGACGAAACUUGAAUCUUGGAAAGGAGCUGCUAGAGAUGAAGAUAAGGAAGACGAAAACAAGCUGGUAUUGAUAUUGGUUUUUCUUAUGGCAAUUGUAAAAUUGCUGAUCUAGAUUGAAUGGAAACUAUGGCUCUUAUACUAAAUACCUGCUAGCUGCCACUGAUUUCAAACUCUCCAAAUGCUUGAUACGUGGUCUUCAU